Callorhinus ursinus (northern fur seal) is the source of this 260-nucleotide non-coding RNA. NCBI's taxonomy places the organism in Eukaryota, Metazoa, Chordata, Mammalia, Carnivora, Otariidae. The record is from RefSeq and is a predicted model, not a curated record.
GGCCUGAGAGACGCCAGGACCUCCGUGAGUGGGAGCACGGAUCUCGGUCGGGAGAGGCCAGGCGUGCAGGGGCUCCAAGAACUCAGAGUCCAGGCCUCUGUCUGAGGCAGGAGUCUCUAAGGUCAGAGACCAGGGGAGGUGCAGGUUCAGCCCGACACAAACGCCAUGCCCCUGGGUCAGAGGAGUGAGCUCUGGAAGCUGGAGGAAGACCCAGGCCCGGCCCAGGGCCUGGUGGAGGCACACCUGUCCGGGGCUGGGGA